CCACAGAAAUUAGGCCCAAAUAAAAUCCAUAUAAAUGUUUAGAGAAUUAGGGUUUCUCAUUUGCCUGUUUCCUUUCUCCUUGAGUUAGGUUUUCCGCCGCUGUUGUGCCGUGAGCAACCAUAUCUUAUCAUUCCAUAUUCUCUGUUACCGUAAUACUACAUAAAUGUUCAACUAUAACUCUAUUCAUGGUGGAAGCUUUUUGAACUCAAGGUUAAGGACUCUAAAACCCUUCUUGUUGGGUGGUGUCAUGAAAGUUGUUAUUCAACAUCAUUCCUAGCAGAACUGGAGCUGCCAAGGUUAAGAGAGUUUAGAGAUUGAAAGGCUUGUAUUUGUUACAUGAGUGGGAGAUAAAGUGACACUUGAAUAUAUAAAGCAUGUUAGCAAUAUCAUUGAGAAAUUUUAUAGUGCAACAAGCAAAGAAAAGAAUAAAGGUUGUAUCAGGAGUGGAAAUUGCUUUGUCUUGUGCCUCCUUCAAGUCCAUUAAAUAUUAACAUAGAAAUUGAAGGAAAAAAAUUGAAAAGAUUAUAAUCAAGAAAUAGAAGAGAAGAUAAGUUAGCCUCAGCUGUGGAGGAGAAGGCAUCAACACAAAUAUGAACAUAUGGACAUUUGGACAAACAUAAUUUGUGUUAUUUACUGUUAUUUUAAUUGUUUUAAUUUUAAUAAUUUUAAGAAAUAACAAAAAAAACAAGGUAUUUAUUUGUUAAUUAAAAAUUGAGUAAAAAUAAUUUAAUUUUGUAA
Molecule: long non-coding RNA, 738 nt
Organism: Vicia villosa (hairy vetch)
Lineage: Eukaryota; Viridiplantae; Streptophyta; Magnoliopsida; Fabales; Fabaceae
Exons: 6
Source: RefSeq, a predicted model, not a curated record